RNAcentral lists this ribosomal RNA (114 nucleotides) under Cavia porcellus (domestic guinea pig). The record is from RNAcentral. Lineage: Eukaryota; Metazoa; Chordata; Mammalia; Rodentia; Caviidae.
GUCUACAGCCACACCACCUUGAAGGCACUUGAUCUCUGAAGCUAACGGUAAGGUCUGGUUAAUACUUGGAUGGAAGAAUGAGACUUUACGUGGGAAAAGAAGAGCUGAUGCACU